CGUGCCUAAUACAUGCAAGUUGAACGCAACAAGACACCAGAGCUUGCUCUACCGUCUUUGUUGAGUAGACGAACGGGUGAGUAACGCGUGGGUAACCUGCCUUAUAGCGGGGGAUAACUAUUGGAAACGAUAGCUAAUACCGCAUAACAAUAGAGAUUGCAUAAUCUUAUUGAAAGUGCCAACUGGUACACUAUGAGAUGGACCCGCGUUGUAUUAGCUAGUUGGUAGUGUAAUGGACUACCAAGGCGAUGAUACAUAGCCGACCUGAGAGGGUGAUCGGCCACAUUGGGACUGAGACACGGCCCAAACUCCUACGGGAGGCAGCAGUAGGGAAUCUUCGGCAAUGGACGAAAGUCUGACCGAGCAACGCCGCGUGAGUGAAGAAGGUUUUCGGAUCGUAAAACUCUGUUGUUAGAGAAGAAUGUUGAUUAGAGUGGAAAAUUAAUCAAGCGACGGUAUCUAACCAGAAAGGGACGGCUAACUACGUG
RNAcentral lists this ribosomal RNA (488 nucleotides) under uncultured bacterium. RNAcentral's name for it is "bacterial SSU rRNA". It matches the Rfam family "Bacterial small subunit ribosomal RNA", at positions 43 to 507 of the family's 1533-position model. The record is from RNAcentral.